UCCCUCAGUAACGGCGAGUGACCAGGGAAGAGCCCAACACUGAAGACUGUGGCCAGUUGGCUACUAGUCAAUGUGGUGUUUAGGUUGUUCCGGCGGAGUCGCUGCUCCACCCUAAGUCCAUGAAUGAGUAUGGUAAAUGGACAUGGCCCACAGAGGGUGACAGGCCCGUGGGGGUGGAGGUCAGGCAGGCCAGCGACGCCCUGGAUAGACCUUGGAGUCGGGUUGUUUGUGAUUGCAGCCCAAAGUGGGUGGUAAACUCCAUCUAAGGCUAAAUACUAGCACGAGUCCGAUAGCAAACAAGUACCGUGAGGGAAAGUUGAAAAGUACUUUGAAGAGAGAGUAAACAGUGCGUGAAACCGAUCAGAGGUAAGCGGGUGGAGUUGAACUGCAAGCUCUGAGAAUUCAGCUGGUGAGUGUGGUUUGAGCUUGGUCAAGUCAGUUGGACUCUGUGGUUCGCGAAGCACUUAGCAAGUGUUGCGGGCCAUGGGUGUUCUUCGGGCUGACUCGCCGGUGCACUUUCUCAGAGUGGUCACCACGACCGGCAUCGCUGUCUGGCUGGUGGGGUUAAACCGGUUUUGCAAGGUCCUUGUGGCUCUGCUUGAUCGGGAUGGCAGGUAGCUCGUUGGCUUGCUUGCGAGCCUUCGAGUGUAAUCAGCUGACCACAUCGGUUCUGUGCAGUAUGUCGGAGACGGCGGCUAGUGCGCGUGCGUGCAUAGCUGGUCGGCCUGUCCGGGUUUGGUUGUUACGUGCCUGUUUAUUCAGGCCUGAUGAUGGCUCGGAUUCGUUCGGCUGGCUGUUGCGUGCGUGCACAAUAC
Molecule: ribosomal RNA, 815 nt
Filed under: Cercaria kirillovii
Lineage: Eukaryota; Metazoa; Platyhelminthes; Trematoda
Description: partial large subunit ribosomal RNA
Rfam family: Eukaryotic large subunit ribosomal RNA
Source: RNAcentral